UACGAAGGGGGCUAGCGUUGUUCGGAUUCACUGGGCGUAAAGGGUGCGUAGGCGGUCGGGUAAGUCUGAUGUGAAAUCUCACAGCUUAACUGUGAAACUGCAUUGGAUACUAUCCGGCUUGAGGAAUGGAGGGGAGACUGGAAUACUUGGUGUAGCAGUGAAAUGCGUAGAUAUCAAGUGGAACACCAGUGGCGAAGGCGAGUCUCUGGACAUUUCCUGACGCUGAGGCACGAAAGCCAGGGGAGCAAACGGG
Molecule: ribosomal RNA, 253 nt
Filed under: uncultured bacterium
Lineage: Bacteria
Description: partial 16S ribosomal RNA
Rfam family: Bacterial small subunit ribosomal RNA
Source: RNAcentral